GCAAACUUGGUCAUUUAGAGGAAGUAAAAGUCGUAACAAGGUUUCCGUAGGUGAACCUGCGGAAGGAUCAUUAGAAAUGCCCGACAUCCCACGCGCCGCCGCCCUCGCGGGAGGCGACCGUCGGCUGUCGCGGUUAAUCUGUCCACCCCCUGUGAAACUUAUACCUUUGCUUCGGCAGCACCUUGCGGGAGACCGCUCGGGUAAGGCUGCCAGAGGCCCACCAUUUAAACUAGUUGAUGAGAUGUCAUGCUGUCUGAUACUUUACAAUUUGAGAAAUCAAAUUACGUUAAAACUUUCAACAACGGAUCUCUUGGUUCCCGCAUCGAUGAAGAACGCAGC
RNAcentral lists this unclassified non-coding RNA (339 nucleotides) under uncultured fungus. Its description in RNAcentral is "partial contains small subunit ribosomal RNA, internal transcribed spacer 1, and 5.8S ribosomal RNA". The stretch from base 1 to 73 matches the Rfam family "Eukaryotic small subunit ribosomal RNA", at positions 1759 to 1831 of the family's 1831-position model. Lineage: Eukaryota; Fungi. The record is from RNAcentral.